RNAcentral lists this ribosomal RNA (253 nucleotides) under uncultured bacterium. RNAcentral's name for it is "partial 16S ribosomal RNA". It matches the Rfam family "Bacterial small subunit ribosomal RNA", at positions 524 to 776 of the family's 1533-position model. The record is from RNAcentral.
UACGGGGGGGGCAAGCGUUGUUCGGAAUUACUGGGCGUAAAGGGCUCGUAGGUUGCCAACUAAGUCAGACGUGAAAUCCCUCGGCUUAACCGGGGAACUGCGUCUGAUACUGGAAGGCUUGAGUAUGGGAGAGGGAUGUAGAAUUCCAGGUGUAGCGGUGAAAUGCGUAGAUAUCUGGAGGAAUACCGGUGGCGAAGGCGGCAUCCUGGACCAUUACUGACGCUGAGGCGCGAAAGCUAGGGGAGCAAACGGG